RNAcentral lists this ribosomal RNA (337 nucleotides) under uncultured Streptococcus sp. RNAcentral describes it as "bacterial SSU rRNA". It matches the Rfam family "Bacterial small subunit ribosomal RNA", at positions 1043 to 1382 of the family's 1533-position model. The record is from RNAcentral. Lineage: Bacteria; Bacillati; Bacillota; Bacilli; Lactobacillales; Streptococcaceae.
GCAUGGUUGUCGUCAGCUCGUGUCGUGAGAUGUUGGGUUAAGUCCGCAACGAGCGCAACCCCUAUUGUUAGUUGCCAUCAUUCAGUUGGGCACUCUAGCGAGACUGCCGGUAAUAAACCGGAGGAAGGUGGGGAUGACGUCAAAUCAUCAUGCCCCUUAUGACCUGGGCUACACACGUGCUACAAUGGUUGGUACAACGAGUUGCGAGUCGGUGACGGCGAGCUAAUCUCUUAAAGCCAAUCUCAGUUCGGAUUGUAGGCUGCAACUCGCCUACAUGAAGUCGGAAUCGCUAGUAAUCGCGGAUCAGCACGCCGCGGUGAAUGCGUUCCCGGGCCUU